AAUUUGUGUUUUCCUUUCUCCUGGGUGCUUAUCGAUCAUGGCUCCUGUCCGCCGAGGCUAACUCUUCCCAGACUCUGACUUGUCGGUUCUACUCUGAUCUUGAUAUCCGUGGAGCAGGAUAGGAGGUGCCCAUGGAUGACAGUGCUGUUUGAGAGUGAUUCUUGCUGGACUUAAGUGAAAGAUGCAGUUUGCAGGUCUUUCCUCAGCGGUCACCAGGUCUUUCUGGGCACAUUAAAAAAAACACUGCAGAGGAUUCAGCAAGUCAUUAUUCCAGAGCACCAAACUCCGAGAACACGGAGGAUGUGGAGUGGUAAAUAGAAAACUUGGAAGACAAAAAAAGAGAGAAAAAAAAAGCCCCAACAUAUCUGGUGUUCAUUAAUUUAAGGAGCCAUUGAGCAAUGCGAGCUGCAUCAUUCUUCUCGUCAUCCCUUCUGCGUGUCCCAUAGGCUACUGUGUGGACAGCCCUGAUUUGUAACCAGCCAUCCUUAGCUCUGCAGCAUAACAUGAUAUGAAAUCAGGUCAUCAAGGAAUCCAGAAGACAAAAAUUGAGAGGAAGAAUCUAUUUCAACUGGCCACAUGCCCAGACACAGCCAAAUGCACUGACUACUACAGGAGGGCAACACCCAAGCCUGGAGAAAGAGCUGGCCCCACUCAGGGGACAUAUAGGCUUCUGACCUCCGAAAUUCCCAGGGACUACACAAUACAGUAACCUGUGAGCACCAGACCAAAUCCCUCUGGAUUGUGAGAUUUAUUAGAAGGACAGCUCCCUGCGGUGCCAGGAAAUUUUGAAUCUGACGAAUAAACAGUGUGCAGGCUGAGGAAAAUCGCCACAUAGACUUCUUUCCAAAUGUGAAGCUGUCACACACAGGACAGAUGAUCUCUUAAAAUCUUGGAGAGAAACAUCUUUCAGUUGCCUUUGACGGGAAUAAACAUGACACAGAAAAAGAAACCCUUCUCUCUAAUGCAUUUGACUGUCUGGCUGGCUGUCUUCCAAAAACAGUUGGAGCUAUAAAUGUUAAAUUUGGC
This is a long non-coding RNA of Hipposideros armiger (great roundleaf bat), 1026 nucleotides long. RefSeq lists it as uncharacterized. The transcript is spliced from 7 exons. NCBI's taxonomy places the organism in Eukaryota, Metazoa, Chordata, Mammalia, Chiroptera, Hipposideridae. The record is from RefSeq and is a predicted model, not a curated record.